This is a non-coding RNA of Notechis scutatus (mainland tiger snake), 236 nucleotides long. The record is from RefSeq and is a predicted model, not a curated record. NCBI's taxonomy places the organism in Eukaryota, Metazoa, Chordata, Lepidosauria, Squamata, Elapidae.
ACCUCAUGGGUUUAUGCUGUGUGCACUUCUCUUCUCCUUAUAUACCAAUGACUGCAUCUUAAAUGAUCCAUCUAUUAAAAUACUGAAGUUUACAGAUGAUAUAACAGUGAUUGGCCUUAUUCAAGACAAUGAUGAAUCUGCAUACAGACAGGAGGUUGUACAACUUGCCUCAUGGUGUAACCGGAACAAUCUCGAACUGAACACACUCAAAACUGUAGAAAUGGUGGUAGACUUUA